CAGCACCUCAAGUGGUCAGGAUGAUUAUUGGGCCUAAAGCAUCCGUAGCCGGCUCUGUAAGUUUUCGGUUAAAUCUGUACGCUCAACGUACAGGCUGCCGGGAAUACUGCAGAGCUAGGGAGUGGGAGAGGUAGACGGUACUCGGUAGGAAGGGGUAAAAUCCUUUGAUCUAUUGAUGACCACCUGUGGCGAAGGCGGUCUACCAGAACACGUCCGACGGUGAGGGAUGAAAGCUGGGGGAGCAAACCGGAUUAGAUACCCGAGUAGUCCC
RNAcentral lists this ribosomal RNA (271 nucleotides) under uncultured archaeon. RNAcentral describes it as "partial 16S ribosomal RNA". It matches the Rfam family "Archaeal small subunit ribosomal RNA", at positions 477 to 748 of the family's 1478-position model. The record is from RNAcentral.